UGCGCCUACGGGGCGCAGCAGUAGGGAAUCUUCCACAAUGGGCGAAAGCCUGAUGGAGCAACGCCGCGUGGGUGAAGAAGGUCUUCGGAUCGUAAAACCCUGUUGUUAGAGAAGAAAGUGCGUGAGAGUAACUGUUCACGUUUCGACGGUAUCUAACCAGAAAGCCACGGCUAACUACGUGCCAGCAGCCGCGGUAAUACGUAGGUGGCAAGCGUUAUCCGGAUUUAUUGGGCGUAAAGAGAACGCAGGCGGUCUUUUAAGGCUGAUGGGAAAGCCUUCGGCUUAAACGGAGUAGGGCAUU
This 301-nucleotide ribosomal RNA is filed under the name uncultured bacterium. RNAcentral's name for it is "bacterial SSU rRNA". It matches the Rfam family "Bacterial small subunit ribosomal RNA", at positions 335 to 627 of the family's 1533-position model. The record is from RNAcentral.